RNAcentral lists this unclassified non-coding RNA (803 nucleotides) under Zea mays. RNAcentral describes it as "misc RNA Zm00001eb299850". The record is from RNAcentral. Lineage: Eukaryota; Viridiplantae; Streptophyta; Magnoliopsida; Poales; Poaceae.
GCUCGUGCUGCUGGCUGCUGCAGAUCAUCGUCAGGCAGCAGCCAUCAUGCUCACGGUCUCAUGGAUGCGUGCGGCCGGCGGGCAGCACGGGGCGCCGGCCAGCAACAUGGAUCCGGCCGGCCCCCCAUGGCCAUGCCCCAUGCAUGCAUGUGCAUACAGUUCAGCUCACACAGUGGUCAUCUAUCACGCGCCACCGCGCACCGGCCGGCCGGCCAGCAGCGUCGCAGGCGGUGGCAGAAGGCGAGCGGAGGACGACGACAAGCGCAAGCCGCCGCGGCGUACGUAUAGUAGGCUAGUAGCUAGGGUGCCGGUGCCGGCCAGCCCGAGAGAUCACCCACUCCGCGUGGACGCAUGCAGUUAAUCGGCAUGCAGCAGCGGUGGUUCUGCAGCUAGCAUCGUCUCUGCGUUUUUUUUGCUUUGCGUGGCUUGUUGGGUAGCGCCCACGCCGAAUCUUCUCCGUCCCAGCUCAACCUCGGCAUGCAGGUCGCGGUCGCCGUCGCCGUCCAGUCCACCACAGCUAAGCUAACCCUCGUCGUGCACUGCGCGCACGCAAGUGCGUACGUACACACGUGGCCUGUGUAUGCGAUAUAUUCUCUGUUGUUGUUCUAUAUAUGCUAUGGUAUAGCUUUGGUAUAUGUAUGGGAUCGGAUCUGAGGGUUUCAUUUUGAAUUCAAAUCCGAGAGAUCUAGAGAGAGGACUAGAAUUUGUAAAACAGUCUCCCAUUUGAGACACCCCAUAUGCAUAUGGUUGUUUUCGUGGUGUGUCAACAAAUAUCUUUGAACAGAGAAAAAAGCGAUUCUUGG